Molecule: ribosomal RNA, 301 nt
Filed under: uncultured bacterium
Lineage: Bacteria
Description: partial 16S ribosomal RNA
Rfam family: Bacterial small subunit ribosomal RNA
Source: RNAcentral
CAGUCGCCGCGGUAAUACCGAGGGUGCGAGCGUUAAUCGGAUUUACUGGGCGUAAAGCGUGCGUAGGCGGCUUUUUAAGUCGGAUGUGAAAUCCCUGAGCUUAACUUAGGAAUUGCAUUCGAUACUGGGAAGCUAGAGUAUGGGAGAGGAUGGUAGAAUUCCAGGUGUAGCGGUGAAAUGCGUAGAGAUCUGGAGGAAUACCGAUGGCGAAGGCAGCCAUCUGGCCUAAUACUGACGCUGAGGUACGAAAGCAUGGGGAGCAAACAGGAUUAGAUACCCCUGUAGUCCCUGUCUCUUAUAC